RNAcentral lists this long non-coding RNA (860 nucleotides) under Elaeis guineensis (African oil palm). RNAcentral's name for it is "long non-coding RNA (EGUI_LNC072072)". Lineage: Eukaryota; Viridiplantae; Streptophyta; Magnoliopsida; Arecales; Arecaceae. The record is from RNAcentral.
GCAGGUCAUGAAUAAAUCGUCAAACCUCAACAUCGGUCAUAUGAUAGAUUCAAUCUGCUUAAGUCCAUAUGUAAUUCUAUGAAAAUUCUUUUCCAUCAAUCAAAUUGCUAUGGUCAUAAACUUAAGGACUCAGCUUCUUAAAUUUUAUAGGACUAUUUCCUUCUGUUAGGAUCGAUAGAUCCCAUUUUGAUGCACACCCCACUCCUACAGUAGAUCAACUGUCGUCAACAUCCACUACAAGGGCUCCUCGAGAUCCAUGUUGAUAUGUCAGUCAAACUCCAGUAGCUUCACUGCGAGCAGUAGUGUCAUCUCAGGUUAAAAGAUCAGUCAUAUAACUGCAGCAUCGAGAAGGUCAUUAUCGAGUGAGCAGACAUCCAUGUGACUUCUCGUGUUGGUCACGCUCAGUGCUAGUUCUCUAACAACCAUCUGCACUCUCGCUUCAGUGUCUCUACAAUGCAGACUCGAGAUCCAUCUGUCCGAAGAAAGCAAUCCGUGCACUGGUCUAUUUGGAUUAAUCAUCAUUCCCAUAAUGAUCCUAUGAUUAGAAGUAAUUUAGAAAUCAAUCAUCAGUGACAUAUGCUUCAAAUUCUUAACUUUUUGAGAAUAUGUAUCAUCAUCUUGUUAAUCCCUUGGAUGAUUCAUAGACACAUAGACAUGAAUGGUAAUAUAACUGCCUAAUAAGUACACAAUCAUGUCCUAAAGUUAUGAAAUGUGUCAAUCAAGAUUGGCUUCUAGGACAUAUAUCCAAUAAUCUUCCACUUGCACUAAAAUCAAUCUACCAUAUACCAAGCCUUAUCUUCGCAAGACAGGCUAUAGUCUUAGGCUAGCCAAGUGACUUACUAGUGGAUCAUCCACAUCAC